AUGUUUGAAAUACUGCAAAGGGUUAGAUAUCAAAGAAAGAUUUAUUGGUUUCAUUGAUUGUUCAUAUAAACAAGACGCAGAGGCUUUAAGUCAAACUAUGCUAGAUUACCUCAAGUAAUGUAAUUUAAACCCUCAGGUGGCAAUUGUAGCUCAAUCAUAUGAUGGGGCCAGCGUUAUAUCUGGGGUAUUUAAUGGUGUCCAAGCAAAGAUUAAAGAAAAACAUCCGUACGCAAUUUAUACUCACUGCACAGCACACAAAGUUAAUUUAGUAAUUCUAGACAUGUGUAAAAAAGUAAAGCUGGAAACCAGAAACAUUAUUAACACAUUAGAGGCCCUUCAUGUUCACUUUUCAUAUCUGGCUAAUAAUAAAAAUUAAUCGAUAUUCAAAAUAAGUUGGGUGUUAAAAAUAGUCAAUUACAAGAUUAAUCAACACAAGGUGGAAUUGCCGUUACAAAAAUUGCGAAGCUGUAAUGUCAGUUAUAAAGCAAUAGCAGAUACAUUAAUAAAUGAGAUUGAAAAUGAAUCUGAUAAAUAUGUAAAUGAAGCUAUAGGAAUUUUAACCAAUAUGACAAAAAGGACAAUUCAUUGUAUAUUUGUUUCUUUUACAUACAUUUUUAACAAUAAUUAAUAUUUUAACAUGCAAAUUGCCAAAAAAA
Molecule: long non-coding RNA, 656 nt
Organism: Diuraphis noxia (Russian wheat aphid)
Lineage: Eukaryota; Metazoa; Arthropoda; Insecta; Hemiptera; Aphididae
Source: RefSeq, a predicted model, not a curated record